RNAcentral lists this ribosomal RNA (404 nucleotides) under uncultured bacterium. RNAcentral's name for it is "bacterial SSU rRNA". It matches the Rfam family "Bacterial small subunit ribosomal RNA", at positions 354 to 776 of the family's 1533-position model. The record is from RNAcentral.
GUGGGGAAUAUUGCACAAUGGGCGAAAGCCUGAUGCAGCAACGCCGCGUGAGUGAUGAAGGCCUUCGGGUCGUAAAACUCUGUCCUUAAGGAAGAUAAUGACGGUACUUGAGGAGGAAGCCCCGGCUAACUACGUGCCAGCAGCCGCGGUAAUACGUAGGGGGCUAGCGUUAUCCGGAUUUACUGGGCGUAAAGGGUGCGUAGGUGGUUUCUUAAGUCAGGAGUGAAAGGCUACGGCUUAACCGUAGUAAGCUCUUGAAACUGGGAAACUUGAGUGCAGGAGAGGAAAGUGGAAUUCCUAGUGUAGCGGUGAAAUGCGUAGAUAUUAGGAGGAACACCAGUAGCGAAGGCGGCUUUCUGGACUGUAACUGACACUGAGGCACGAAAGCGUGGGGAGCAAACAGG